GAGGAAAGUCCGGGCUCCAUAGGGCAGGGUGCCAGGUAACGCCUGGGGGGGAAACCCACGACCAGUGCAACAGAGAGCAAACCGCCGAUGGCCCGCGCAAGCGGGAUCAGGUAAGGGUGAAAGGGUGCGGUAAGAGCGCACCGCGCGGCUGGUAACAGUCCGUGGCACGGUAAACUCCACCCGGAGCAAGGCCAAAUAGGGGUUCACAUGGUACGGCCCGUACUGAACCCGGGUAGGCUGCUUGAGCCAGCGCGCGAGCUCUGGCCUAGAUGAAUGACUGUCCACGACAGAACCCGGCUUA
RNAcentral lists this RNase P RNA (301 nucleotides) under Dickeya parazeae Ech586. Its description in RNAcentral is "Dickeya zeae Ech586 RNA component of RNaseP". It matches the Rfam family "Bacterial RNase P class A", at positions 43 to 351 of the family's 367-position model. From Rfam's summary of the family: Ribonuclease P (RNase P) is a ubiquitous endoribonuclease, found in archaea, bacteria and eukarya as well as chloroplasts and mitochondria. Its best characterised activity is the generation of mature 5'-ends of tRNAs by cleaving the 5'-leader elements of precursor-tRNAs. Lineage: Bacteria; Pseudomonadati; Pseudomonadota; Gammaproteobacteria; Enterobacterales; Pectobacteriaceae. The record is from RNAcentral.